UCCGAGGAAACCCAGGGACGCCUUCCAAAUCACAACUGUUUUAGUAACCUGUUGUUUUUCGUCCUUGCGAAACACACUUUUGCUGCAGCCACGAACCUACGUGAUCCUCAACCCGGUCUGCUUUUAUUUGUCCCCUCUGACUUAAAUUGAUGGCCCUUAUUUUUUACCCAGCGGCUGCCCCUUGCCUUUUCUUCUUCUGUUUUCCUGCCGCCUGUUGCUUCCCUCCCCCUGCUCCCAUUUUUCAGCUUUUCUUGAAAUCUGGCAAGCGCCAGAAAGGGAAAUAACUUCCAUCCACCAUAAUUUAAAUCAUUCAAAUGUAGGUUUCUUUCUUAAAGGGAUGUUUGCUCCCUCCUUUCCCCCAGCUCCAAGAGGGGAGUGGGCGGUUUCGUGCAGUUUCUUGGUGAUGAGGUAAUGAGUUCCAGAUUUCAGGACAGAGUAGGGUGCGCAUUAAAACCACAAGGUUAGUCUGCGUCCCGAUGUGAAGCUAUUUCGGUUUUUGAUUCCGCCACCCCAAAAAAAGGGCCGGUUGGUCUUUAACUCGGGCGGGUUCGGGAAGCUCUGCUGGCGGGACGGGGGAGGGGUGGAGAAGCGGGGGUGGAGAAGCCAGGGGGAAGGGGACCCGGAGCGGGCGGGCCGUCUUCCCAGCCCGGAGCCCGGCCAGGCCCGCACCCGUGGUCCCCCCUCUCCGAGUGGCGCCUCUUCCCCGCCCCCCCUCCCCCGGCUGCGGGACCGCCCAAAAGCACCAUCACGCGGUCUCGGCGCCCUAGGCUGGCUAAAAAGUCUCUUUUUUCCAAAGAGAACGCCGAUUCCUCGAAUUUCCUUCACUUUUCCAACUCCCGGAGGGCGCUCCCCUCCCCCGCUCCCGGGGGCGCGGGCUCCGCGGGGCGCGGCCAGCCUGGCCCGCUCGCUCCGGAGUUGUUUACCGGCCCCGCCAACCGACCGGGUUUGUUCCAGCUCCCAGAGCCUGUCUCUAUAAUUAAACUCUUUUUUUAAUUGUGGGGUUGAAACGUCAUUUCGGGGACUUUCCAAGGGUGAGGGAGCCGAGGGGAGGGAGCGAGCCGCCUUAACUCUUCGCUGACCCGGCUUGCGCGCCGCGGUGGGCCAGGAGCAGCAUCCAGCCAGGCAAGGAGGGAUGGGGGUCUGGGGGCCGGAGCCGGCCUGACCCCCCCCCCCCCGCUCCCCGGGACGUGCUCAGCAGGUGCCCCAUGGUGGCGGGAACGGCCGCGAGCCGCGACCCGGGCAGGAAGCCCGACGGGAGGCGUGCACGGCCCUCCCCCGGCUCCUCCGCUCGGCAGUCAACCCUCCGGUUCCUCCCCGCGCCAGGCCAGAGUGGCCGCCCCUUCACCUGCACUGCCGCUUCCGACCGGGAGGCGAUGGGCCAGGUGCUCCGUUCCAGGCCUGACUUCUGGGCCCUCCCCACUCGCUUGGAGCCGGUCCCCUGGUGAGGAGUGGCUAGCCAGGUAUUUUUGGCUUGGGGGUGUUAGGUUUUGUGAAAAGGAGAAAGUGAAAGUCCUCGCAAUUAGGGAAGCGUGACGGAUAUAUUCAUCGGCCAGUCUGGAUCCUGGGCCCACCUCGCGGCAGGUGAGAGUGUGGGGCGCCAGACUGCUGACCCGUAGACGGCCGCGCCUCGUCACCACCGCCAUCCAAGGCACCCCUUCCCCAGAAGCCCCUUCUGGCCCUGGUGGCAGCACAGGACCUGCCGUCGCUGAGCCCUGCAGUGCUGCACUUCCUCCCCGGCUUCAGGGCAGCAAGAGUUGCAAGAAAGUGAAGCAAACCAAGGCAAAAUUGAGAAGCAACAGAAGUAAAAAUGCAAGUGUGUUUGCCUUAGCGCUUGGCUUUGGCGUGCCCCGGCUGUCUGCAGUAGUCUUGCUACAGCUCUUCUGGAAGAUGUGAACGUUGCGGGGAACAUACACAGUGCCUGCAGAUCCCAACUUGUCAAGAUUUGUCCUCAAAAGGGCAAGCAAGGGACUUACCUGCCCUCCCCUAGUCUCCUCUGCUGUGAAAUGGCAAUGACAGCGAUACCCAUCUCCUGGGGCUGCCGCGAGGACAGAUGAGCAAAGCGCUUGGCACGUGUGAGCAUCCCUAGUCAACUGUUGCUGUAUGUUAAGCUGCGAAUUGGCAAGACCGAGAAGAAGGCUGGAGGCCCCACAAAGUGGGGUUCCACGGAGUCACUGGAACACAGUCAAGUAUCCUGAGCAAGAGAGAGAAGAGGGUCCCAGAGGAGGCCCAGGCAGCUGGCGGGUGGAGCGCUGCUCCGACAGCCAAGGACAGCCAGUCACAGCCGGGUGUCCUCCGGGGUGGGAGGACGCAGGGGGCUGCACUGCAGUCCUCCCGCAUUAGCUCAACGCCGCUGCAUCCCCACCCUUGCAUGUGUUCAUCCUGACAUGAAACCCAGCACGCAGUGACCUCACCCCCACUAUGUGCAGCCGCUGGCCAAGCAGAGAGCUGUACCAGAGUGAGCUUCAGAAGUGCUCAUUGGCCUCAGAGAUUUCAUAACUGGGCGUUUCUGCCCAAAUGCAGAAAUCUGUCUUUGAACUAGAGUUUAAGGAUGUGACCAAAUGCUGAGAAAUUCUUAUUUCAGGGCUGAUUUUUUUUUCUGUAAGUAGAAAGGCAAAGAGUUCAAAAUAUAUUCUGGAAAUGUGAACAGCAACUGAAUCUUGGUAAUAUUUAGGGAGUAUUAUUAAUUUUUAGGUGAAAUAAGGACAGUGUGGCUAAGUUGAAUGAGUCCAUUUUUUUUAGAGCUACAUACUGAAAUACCAACAGAUGAAAUGAUAUGAUCCAAUAUAUAGGAUUUACUUCAAAAUUAUAUGGGAGGUGGGGAGGCAGCUGGUGCUGUAAAUGAACAAGCUUGGCCAGGAGUUGGUGAUGUUGGUGAUGGGAGUUCCUCAUACUCUCUGUCUUCUUCUGUACACGCUUGAUGUUUUCCAUAAAAAAAUGUUUUAAGUUCAUAAAAGCUGAAAAAAAUUUAACUCAGGGAUUCUUGUUUUACUGGUUCUUGCAACAUGAUAUUUACUUCCGAAGGACAUGUGCUCUUGGACAAGAGAUGAGCUUGUAGGGGGAUGUGCCCAGAGCCGCGGAGGACUGGCAAAGAGACAGGGAGACCACCACCCCGGGGUCAGG
This 3120-nucleotide long non-coding RNA is filed under the name Equus asinus (donkey). Its description in RNAcentral is "lncRNA (ENSEASG00005023984.1)". The record is from RNAcentral. Lineage: Eukaryota; Metazoa; Chordata; Mammalia; Perissodactyla; Equidae.